This 258-nucleotide ribosomal RNA is filed under the name uncultured bacterium. RNAcentral's name for it is "partial 16S ribosomal RNA". It matches the Rfam family "Bacterial small subunit ribosomal RNA", at positions 96 to 354 of the family's 1533-position model. The record is from RNAcentral.
UGGCGGACGGGUGAGUAACGCGUGGAAAACCUGCCGUAUACUGGGGGAUAACACUUAGAAAUAGGUGCUAAUACCGCAUAAGCUCACAGCUUCGCAUGAAGCGGUGUGAAAAACUCUGGUGGUAUACGAUGGUUCCGCGUCUGAUUAGCUAGUUGGUGGGGUAAUGGCCUACCAAGGCAACGAUCAGUAGCCGGCCUGAGAGGGUGAACGGCCACAUUGGGACUGAGACACGGCCCAAACUCCUACGGAAGGCAGCAG